GUGCUAACGUCCGUCGUGGAGAGGGAAACAACCCAGACCGCCAGCUAAGGUCCCCAAGUACUAGUUAAGUGGGAAACGAUGUGGGAAGGCAUAGACAGCCAGGAGGUUGGCUUAGAAGCAGCCACCCUUUAAAGAAAGCGUAAUAGCUCACUGGUCGAGUCGGCCUGCGCGGAAGAUGUAACGGGGCUAAAACUAGUCACCGAAGCUGCGGAUGUGCGCGAAGGCGCACGUGGUAGGGGAGCGUUCUGUAGGCUGAUGAAGGUGCAUUGAGAAGUGUGCUGGAGGUAUCAGAAGUGCGAAUGCUGACAUGAGUAACGAUAAUGUGGGUGAAAAGCCCACACGCCGGAAGUCCCAGGUUUCCUGCACGACGUUAAUCGGAGCAGGGUGAGUCGGCCCCUAAGGCGAGGCUGAAGAGCGUAGUCGAUGGGAACCAGGUUAAUAUUCCUGGACUUUUUAUAAGUGGUGAAGUGGGGACGAAGAAGGCUAGGUGAGCCAGGCGUUGGUUGUCCUGGUACUUGCAUGUAGGGGGGAAGACUUGGCAAAUCCGGUUUUCCAUAACUCUGAGGUGCGAAGUGGUUCUGACCUUUUGGUACAGAGAAGUCAUUGAUGCCCGGCUUCCAGGAAAAGCUGCUAGCCAUAACUUAUAGAGAACCGUACCGCAAACCGACACAGGUGGACAGGUAGAGAAUACUAAGGCGCUUGAGAGAACUCGGGUGAAGGAACUAGGCAAAAUGGUACCGUAACU
This 745-nucleotide ribosomal RNA is filed under the name Legionella pneumophila. RNAcentral's name for it is "partial 23S ribosomal RNA". It matches the Rfam family "Bacterial large subunit ribosomal RNA", at positions 995 to 1735 of the family's 2925-position model. Lineage: Bacteria; Pseudomonadati; Pseudomonadota; Gammaproteobacteria; Legionellales; Legionellaceae. The record is from RNAcentral. RNAcentral also lists the same sequence under 1 other name.